RNAcentral lists this ribosomal RNA (301 nucleotides) under uncultured bacterium. Its description in RNAcentral is "partial 16S ribosomal RNA". It matches the Rfam family "Bacterial small subunit ribosomal RNA", at positions 509 to 808 of the family's 1533-position model. The record is from RNAcentral.
CAGUAGCCGCGGUAAUGCGUAGGGGGCAAGCGUUAUCCGGAAUUAUUGGGCGUAAAGAGUGCGUAGGUGGUCUACUAAGCGCGAGGUGAAAGGCAAUGGCUCAACCAUUGUUAGCCUUGCGAACUGGCAGACUUGAGUGCAAGAGAGGAAAGCGGAAUUCCUAGUGUAGCGGUGAAAUGCGCAGAUAUUAGGAGGAACACCGGCGGCGAAGGCGGCUUUCUGGAUUGUAACUGACACUGAGGCACGAAAACGUGGGUAGCAAACAGGAUUAGAUACCCGCGUAGUCCCUGUCUCUUAUACA